GCCCCGCACCGCGCCCCUCGCCGCAACCAGCACCACGCACCGCACCGUGUGGCCGUGCCCUCUCCCUAGCCCGGCAUCACGUCAUCCCCACAACCCUACGGCGGCGCAGAGCCCGGAUGGACAAGGAGCAGCGGUGCGGGGUUCCUCCGGUGGCACCACGGGGCCUGGAGCUUGGAUCGAUGCGGGCCAUUGGCAGCGAGGCCAGAUCCGCCAUCGGUGACCUCAGUGGCCAAGGAUCCGUCAGCGUCAUCACGAAGGAAUAUAAAUUUGGCUCCGAGGAGGCUAGUGCUUUGAACAUAUGCUGAAAUGAAGUGCUAAUGCUGAAUGUCUAGGACCGAUUCUAGAGGAUGCUUCUGCAUGGUGUUUGUGAGAGAGAGUACUACUGCAGCCCUGAGUUUGUUGGAAUGGAGAGUGGGGACAAGACCACAACACCAAAAGUCUAAUUGGUCCACUCAAGAUCGAGAAAGCUAAAGAUCUGCUGUUGCUAGAGCUGAGCCAGUUGUAGAAUGAGGACACCAUUGAUCUUCUACAAGCCUGAGCUUGUAAGGCAAGGAUCUUAUUUCUUGCUCUUCAUUGCUCUUCAUUGAUGGAUUUUGAUUACAUUCUAGCAAGCUAGUAUAUUAGAUUUCUUCAUGGAUUUUUAGAUUUGUAGAAAGAGUGGAACUUGUGGAUUUGACAAACUUGUAGAACAUGUUAUGAUAGAACUUUUGAAGUGAUGAAACUUGAAUUUGAUGUU
Molecule: long non-coding RNA, 736 nt
Organism: Sorghum bicolor (sorghum)
Lineage: Eukaryota; Viridiplantae; Streptophyta; Magnoliopsida; Poales; Poaceae
Exons: 4
Source: RefSeq, a predicted model, not a curated record